AGAGUUUGAUCCUGGCUCAGAUUGAACGCUGGCGGCAUGCCUUACACAUGCAAGUCGAACGGCAGCACGGGAGCAAUCCUGGUGGCGAGUGGCGAACGGGUGAGUAAUAUAUCGGAACGUGCCCAGUAGUGGGGGAUAGCCCGGCGAAAGCCGGAUUAAUACCGCAUACGACCUGAGGGUGAAAGCGGGGGAUCGCAAGACCUCGCGCUAUUGGAGCGGCCGAUAUCAGAUUAGCUAGUUGGUGGGGUAAAGGCCUACCAAGGCUACGAUCUGUAGUUGGUCUGAGAGGACGACCAGCCACACUGGGACUGAGACACGGCCCAGACUCCUACGGGAGGCAGCAGUGGGGAAUUUUGGACAAUGGGCGAAAGCCUGAUCCAGCAAUGCCGCGUGCAGGAUGAAGGCCUUCGGGUUGUAAACUGCUUUUGUACGGAACGAAAAGGUUCUUUCUAAUA
This 455-nucleotide ribosomal RNA is filed under the name uncultured bacterium. Its description in RNAcentral is "bacterial SSU rRNA". It matches the Rfam family "Bacterial small subunit ribosomal RNA", at positions 8 to 465 of the family's 1533-position model. The record is from RNAcentral.